This 253-nucleotide ribosomal RNA is filed under the name uncultured bacterium. RNAcentral's name for it is "partial 16S ribosomal RNA". It matches the Rfam family "Bacterial small subunit ribosomal RNA", at positions 524 to 776 of the family's 1533-position model. The record is from RNAcentral.
GACGAACCGUGCGAACGUUGUUCGGAAUCACUGGGCUUAAAGGGCGCGUAGGCGGGUCGGCAAGUCAGGGGUGAAAUCGUUCGGCUUAACCGGACAACUGCCUUUGAUACUGCCGGCCUCGAGGGAGGUAGGGGUCUGCGGAACUUCCGGUGGAGCGGUGAAAUGCGUUGAUAUCGGAAGGAACGCCGGUGGCGAAAGCGGCGGACUGGACCUCUUCUGACGCUGAGGCGCGAAAGCCAGGGGAGCAAACGGG